Molecule: unclassified non-coding RNA, 251 nt
Filed under: uncultured fungus
Lineage: Eukaryota; Fungi
Description: partial contains 5.8S ribosomal RNA, internal transcribed spacer 2, and large subunit ribosomal RNA
Source: RNAcentral
AACGCACAUUGCGCCCUUUGGCAUUCCGAGGGGCAUGCCCGUUCGAGCGUCAUUAAAUCCACUCAAGCCUGGCUUGGUAUUGGGCGACGGGACCCCCCGCGCCUCCAUUUCGCCGGCUGGCCGUCGUUUGACUUAGCGUUGUGAUACAUGUCGCUGACGAUAAAGAUGGACCGCGCCGUAACAAACCCCUUGGGCGCUCGCGUCCAGUAAAGAUUGACCUCGGAUCGGGUAGGAAUACCCGCUGAACUUAA